UCAGAAUAAAAGUAGUUAAGUUCUUCAUAACUCAAAGAAUUUGGCGGUUAAUAAAAAUUUCAGAGGAACCUGUGUUUUAAUUGAUAAACCACGAUAGAUUUUAUCUUUUUUUUAUUUGUAUAUCUCUAUAUUUUGGAGUGUUUUUUAAAAAUAAUUAUUCUCUUUAAGAUAUUUUCUUUAAUUUUAGGUCAAGGUGCAGUUUUAGAAAGAUUUACAUGGGUUACUUUAGUUUUAAUUAUUUAUAUAUUUUUUUCAUUUGGUAAAUUAAAAUAUAGGAUUUGAUAGUAAUUUAUAUUAAUUAAUUUUUUUGAAUAUU
Molecule: ribosomal RNA, 316 nt
Filed under: Enchenopa sp. CPL-2004c
Lineage: Eukaryota; Metazoa; Arthropoda; Insecta; Hemiptera; Membracidae
Description: partial 12S small subunit ribosomal RNA
Source: RNAcentral